RNAcentral lists this small RNA (214 nucleotides) under Arabidopsis thaliana (thale cress). RNAcentral's name for it is "ATSL016230". The record is from RNAcentral. Lineage: Eukaryota; Viridiplantae; Streptophyta; Magnoliopsida; Brassicales; Brassicaceae.
AAAUAAGUACUAUAAACUAAGCGUUAUGAUCAGUAGAUUAUAAUUUAUAUCCUACUAUAUUAUUUGGGAAGUACAUUUUAAAUGUAACCUUAAUUUUUGUAAGUAAUUACAUAGGUAUGCCAUUAGAAAUAAAAUUUUAAAGAGUAAAUUAAUUUAUCUCUUUAAGGAUUAAAAAGUCAAAUACUAAUUUAAUUAAUUAAAUUUAAUUAAAAAA